AACUACGCGAAAGCGUAGCUAAUACCGCAUACGCCCUACGGGGGAAAGCAGGGGAUCGCAAGACCUUGCACUAUUAGAGCGGCCGAUAUCGGAUUAGCUAGUUGGUGGGGUAACGGCUCACCAAGGCGACGAUCCGUAGCUGGUUUGAGAGGACGACCAGCCACACUGGGACUGAGACACGGUCCAGACUCCUACGGGAGGCAGCAGUGGGGAAUAUUGGACAAUGGGCGCAAGCCUGAUCCAGCAAUGCCGCGUGUGUGAAGAAGGCCUUCGGGUUGUAAAGCACUUUUAUCAGGAGCGAAAUGCCAUUGGUUAAUACCCGAUGGAGCUGACGGUACCUGAGGAAUAAGCACCGGCUAACUUCGUGCCAGCAGCCGCGGUAAUACGAAGGGUGCAAGCGUUAAUCGGAAUUACUGGGCGUAAAGCGUGCGUAGGCGGUUUGUUAAGUCUGUCGUGAAAUCCCCGGGCUCAACCUGGGAAUGGCGAUGGAUACUGGCAAGCUAGAGUGUGAUAGAGGAUGGUGGAAUUCCCGGUGUAGCGGUGAAAUGCGUAGAGAUCGGGAGGAACAUCAGUGGCGAAGGCGGCCAUCUGGAUCAACACUGACGCUGAGGCACGAAAGCGUGGGGGAGCAAACAGGAUUAGAUACCCUGGUAGUCCACGCCCUAAACGAUGCGAACUGGAUGUUGGUCUCAACUCGGAGAUCAGUGUCGAAGCUAACGCGUUAAGUUCGCCGCGCUGGGGAGUACGGUCGCAMGACUGAWACUCAAAGGAAUUGACGGGGGCCCGCACAAGCGGUKGCAGUAWGUGGUUUARUWCGAUGCAACGCGAAGAACCUUACCUGGCCUKGASAUGUCUGGAAUCCUGCAGARAUGCGGGAGUGCCUUCGGGAAUCAGAACACAGGUGCUGCAUKGCUGUCRUCAGCCUCGUAGUCGUGAGAUGUUGGGUUAAGUCCCGCAACGAGCGCAACCCUUGUCCUUAGUUGCCAGCACGUAAUGGUGGGAACUCUAAGGAGACUGCCGGUGACAAACCGGAGGAAGGUGGGGAUGACGUCAAGUCAUCAUGGCCCUUACGGCCAGGGCUACACACGUACUACAAUGGUCGGUACAGAGGGUUGCAAUACCGCGAGGUGGAGCCAAUCCCAGAAAGCCGAUCCCAGUCCGGAUUGGAGUCUGCAACUCGACUCCAUGAAGUCGGAAUCGCUAGUAAUCGCAGAUCAGCUAUGCUGCGGUGAAUACGUUCCCGGGCCUUGUACACACCGCCCGUCACACCAUGGGAGUGAGUUGCUCCAGAAGCCGUUAGUCUAACCGCAAGGGGGACGACGACCACGGAGUGGUUCAUGACUGGGGUGAAGUCGUAACAAGGUAGCCGUA
Molecule: ribosomal RNA, 1371 nt
Filed under: uncultured Dyella sp.
Lineage: Bacteria; Pseudomonadati; Pseudomonadota; Gammaproteobacteria; Lysobacterales; Rhodanobacteraceae
Description: bacterial SSU rRNA
Rfam family: Bacterial small subunit ribosomal RNA
Source: RNAcentral